This 494-nucleotide ribosomal RNA is filed under the name uncultured bacterium. RNAcentral describes it as "partial 16S ribosomal RNA". It matches the Rfam family "Bacterial small subunit ribosomal RNA", at positions 28 to 507 of the family's 1533-position model. The record is from RNAcentral.
GACGAACGCUGGCGGCGUGCUUAACACAUGCAAGUCGAACGGUGAAGCGCCUUCCUUUCUGGUGGGUGUGGAUGAGCGGCGAACGGGUGAGUAACACGUGAGUAACCUUCUCCCUCUUUCUGGAUAACCGCAAGAAAGUGCUGCUAAUACGGGAUAUACUGGGUCUGUCGCAUGAUGGGUCUGGGACAGAUUUUGUUUCGGUUGUGGAUGGGCCCGCGGCCUAUCAGCUUGUUGGUGGGGUGAUGGCCUACCAAGGCGGUGACGGGUAGCCGGCCUGAGAGGGUGGACGGUCACACUGGGACUGAGACACGGCCCAGACUCCUACGGGAGGCAGCAGUGGGGAAUAUUGCACAAGGGGCGCAAGGCUGAUGCAGCGACGCCGCGUGAGGGAUGGAGGCCUUCGGGUUGUGCACCUCUUUCGCCAGUGAAGCAGGCCUGCCUCGUUUGUGGGUGGGUUGACGGUAGCUGGAUAAGAAGCGCCGGCUAACUACGUG